Ananas comosus (pineapple) is the source of this 1008-nucleotide long non-coding RNA. RefSeq lists it as uncharacterized. The record is from RefSeq and is a predicted model, not a curated record. The transcript is spliced from 5 exons. NCBI's taxonomy places the organism in Eukaryota, Viridiplantae, Streptophyta, Magnoliopsida, Poales, Bromeliaceae.
UUUUGUUGUCGCCCCUUUGAUCCGGUUGUUUUUCCCACCACUUCGAUCCCAUCUCCUGGCCGCUUCGAUCCUGCCUCCCCUACCGCUUCGAUCCCAUCUCCCCGUCGUUUCGAUCCCGUCUCCCCGUCGCUUCGAUGCCAUCUAUUGCCUUCUCAGUUAGUUCCUACUUCCCGACCCUUUUUUUUUCCUGCUUCCUCACCUUUUUUUUCCUCUCUUCCCUGGCAGCAGCCUCCUUCUUCGCUUUUUGGGAUUGUGCGGCAAUGAAGCUGGUUCCCCUUCCAAUUAAUGCGUCCGCACAACCCUCACUGCCUCUAUGGUUGCCGCACCUCGGUUGCCUGUCAAAUUUGGUCUGAUCAUCUCCAAGAUCAUAUCAUUGGCUUUUACUUGCAUACCAGUGCGAUACUAUAUCUGUGCGUAAGCCAUGCAAAAAUUAUUCUAUAAUUUGACCCUAAAAAGGAUGGAACUGCAAACAAGCAUGCAAUCCACAACCUAUCACUCGCCAUGGCGCAAGGAGAAUGCAUAGGCCUAAGCCCAAAUGGUUCUGAGAAAACCACAUUUAUUAAAAUAAUGUGUGUAUUUCCUAUACUAUAUUUUCGACAUAUAUUAGGUUCUUUGUCGAGAUUGUUAUCUAAAACUGAGAUGUGUAUGUUAGGUCACCGGUCUCCUUUAUUCGACAUUUGGAACCAUCUUCAUUGGCAAUAAGGAUAUUAUCUCAAGUAGGGAUAACAUUUGCUCCAAGUUUAAUUGUAUUUUACUGGAAGUCAAGUAAAAAAGGCAACUUAGAUGCCUUAAAGAAGCUACUGUAGCCAUUGGCUCUUAAGAGAAUUCCAAUAGCAGAAGACAUGAGAGAGGAGAGGUUAUGAUGAUCUUACCACUUAUACAAGAUUUUUUUUCUCCGAUUGGGAAGAAACAAUUGAUUGAUUUGUUGAGAGUUAUAUUGUCACGCCCCGAGACCGGCACCAAUUUGGCCCGACCCGAGCACGUCAAACAGACGCCGAACGGACAGAG